This 756-nucleotide ribosomal RNA is filed under the name uncultured bacterium. Its description in RNAcentral is "bacterial SSU rRNA". It matches the Rfam family "Bacterial small subunit ribosomal RNA", at positions 8 to 796 of the family's 1533-position model. The record is from RNAcentral.
AGAGUUUGAUCAUGGCUCAGAAUCAACGCUGGCGGCGUGCCUAACACAUGCAAGUCGCACGAGAAAGUGGAGCAAUCCAUGAGUACAGUGGCGCACGGGUGAGUAACACGUGAAUCAUCUACCUUCGAGUGGGGAAUAACUGAGAGAAAUCUUAGCUAAUACCGCAUAAUACCUACGGGUCAAAGCAGCAAUGCGCUUGAAGAGGAGUUCGCGGCAGAUUAGUUAGUUGGCGGGGUAAUGGCCCACCAAGACGAUGAUCUGUAUCCGGCCUGAGAGGGCGCACGGACACACUGGAACUGAAACACGGUCCAGACUCCUACGGGAGGCAGCAGUGGGGAAUUUUGCGCAAUGGGGGAAACCCUGACGCAGCAACGCCGCGUGGAGGAUGAAAUCCCUUGGGAUGUAAACUCCUUUCGAUAGGGAAGAUUAUGACGGUACCUAUAGAAGAAGCCCCGGCUAACUUCGUGCCAGCAGCCGCGGUAAUACGAGGGGGGCGAGCGUUGUUCGGAAUUAUUGGGCGUAAAGGGUGCGUAGGCGGUUUGACAAGUCUGAUGUGAAAUCUAUGGGCUCAACCCAUAGCCUGCAUCGGAAACUGUCGGACUUGAGUAUGGGAGAGGUGAGUGGAAUUUCCGGUGUAGCGGUGAAAUGCGUAGAUAUCGGAAGGAACACCUGUGGCGAAAGCGGCUCACUGGACCAUUACUGACGCUGAGGCACGAAAGCUAGGGGAGCAAACAGGAUUAGAUACCCCAGUAGUCC